RNAcentral lists this transfer RNA (32 nucleotides) under Heliobolus spekii. Its description in RNAcentral is "partial tRNA-Thr". The record is from RNAcentral. Lineage: Eukaryota; Metazoa; Chordata; Lepidosauria; Squamata; Lacertidae.
CUAGGCCCUGGUAGCUUAAUAAUAAAGCACUG